Magnolia sinica is the source of this 3269-nucleotide RNA transcript. It is a transcript of the gene named universal stress protein PHOS34-like, with no coding region annotated. NCBI's taxonomy places the organism in Eukaryota, Viridiplantae, Streptophyta, Magnoliopsida, Magnoliales, Magnoliaceae. The record is from RefSeq and is a predicted model, not a curated record. The transcript is spliced from 4 exons.
CAGCAAAAACCGUCCCCAGACAAAUAAAUCCCUCCGUCCAUUGCAAAACCCGCUUCUCUCUCGCUCUCUCUCUCUCUCUCUACAAAUCAACGGAACAAAAAACCCAACAUCUCCCCUCAACGGAUCAAUCUCCACCGUCCAUCAGAUUCUGCCCUCACCCGUCCUCGCGCGCCAUGCUUCCCCAACAGCCUCCGCCACACGCAUCCUCCCAUCCGUCGCCCCCUCGCUUCUCCUUCUCCCACCCAACAGCCUCUGGCCCCCACCGCAAGAUCGCGAUCGCCGUCGAUCUCAGCGACGAGUCGGCCUUCGCCGUCCGUUGGGCCGUACAUAACUACCUCCGCCCCAGCGACUCCGUCGUCCUCCUCCACGUCCGCCCCACCUCCGUCCUCUACGGCGCCGAUUGGGGCUCCGUCGACCUCUCCCUCCACGACUCUGCUGACUCAUCGGAAGAGUCCCAGCGGAAGCUGGAAGACGAUUUCGAUGCUUUCACCGCUGCCAAGGCCGCUGAUCUCGCUCAGCCCCUUGUCGCGGCCCGCAUACCGUUCAAGAUCCAUAUCGUCAAAGAUCAUGACAUGAAGGAGAGGCUCUGCUUGGAAGUCGAACGGCUGGGAUUGAGUGCAGUGAUCAUGGGGAGCCGUGGGUUCGGUGCAUCGAGGCGGACGAUUAAGGGGAGGCUCGGGAGUGUUAGCGAUUACUGCGUGCAUCAUUGCAUUUGCCCGGUGGUGGUUGUGCGGGAUCCGGAUGAGAAGGAUGGAAGCAUGGCCGUAGAAGCUGCUGCUGUGGGGCCCAAGGCGGUGGCGAAGGAUGCAGAGCUGCAUCCGCUGCCAGAGGAUGAGCAGGAAUACCAUGACACUUCAGAUGAACAGAAAGGUUGAAUCAGGAGGCUAUUGGUGUGACUUGGCCAUACCAUCGAGCACUGAAACUGAAAUGUAUUGGGAGAUACGUAUGGUUUUGGACGAUGCUUCAGUCCUUUGCUUUUAAUGGUAUUGUGACAAUUUGAGACUGAAUCUUUAUUUGAGGGUUUCAUGUCAGUUUUCAUGUUGGCAAAAGUUGGUUUGUAUUCUUUGUUGCCAUCAUAAAGUUUACCAGAUCUAUUUGUUUUAGAUUUUACCACCUAUUACUUUAUUAUGUCGCAUGACAUCUUGCCAAUAUGCAUGUUGUUCCUCUGUAAAGACAUUUAUGUGAAAUUUUGUUAAGUAGUUUGGAAACUAGCAGUAAGUUGAUUUUGAGUUAUGGCGGUUGCUAUGUUGAAAGUUUGAUAGUGUGCUUCAUAUCUGUCAUUUUCCUCAUUUCACGCAUGUCUUUCCUUGUUCGCUGUGGAAACUUGGAACUAAAGCUUGAGGAUGCUUCCCAUUUUUUAUUUUCUAUCAUGAUCUGUUUGGAUAAAGAACACAAACUACUAGAAUGAGGUAGUUUGCUCCAUUCAUUUGAUCUUGAGUUGGAUGUACAUAAAAUGAGAACCAGUGGAAAAGACUCACAAAACAGUAACUGAACAAACCAUAAAAGAAUAAAGAGGGUCGAAAAUAUAGAAGAACGAAAAAAGAAGAAGAAGAAGAAGUGUCUUCAAAAUGUUGAGCUGGAGACUUCUCAACACUGCCCCUCUAACCGGAAUGUUGAGAAAAUCAUGCCUCAUUCUCCUCUUGAGGCGAGAAAAUAUGGUUUUUCCUGAUGCUUCUGCUGAAAUUUUGCAACUUGAUCUCGACUUCACAGGUUAGCAUAGUCUUCUAUUAUUCUUUAUCAGUUCCUCAAUUUCUUGUUUUGAACAAAUCGUGUGAUUCUUUAUACAAGGCUUCUUGUGUGGAAUGCAUGCUGUAUUAACUUCCACUCAAGCAAAUCUCAUAUUCACUUCUCGAUCUUGUUUGUUAUACUGCUUCCUUAUGUUGAUCACAUCAAACGAUAAAGAAGACCUACUGCAUUAUUUGAUUUCAAUCAACUUUUACAUUAGCUUCUUAUGUUAUUAAAUGAUAAGUUAAAAUUCUAUGAUAAGAGCUAACGGGACCACCUGUUCGAGGAUGUUUGGUGGCAGUCUCCUGAGAUUUGGACAUUUACCCUUUGAUUGCCUCAUUUCCAUUAAACUCGGAUGGUCUCCAUAAUCUUUAAAUAAUCAAAGGGUUGAGAUAACUUCAGUUUGAGAUUUGUUCUGGGUAUACCACAGCCACAGUUUGGCUCACGAUAUAGACAGUUUUGGUCAUUGGAAGGACUUAAUAUCCAUUGGUUUAUGUCCCAACAUAUCCUAUGAGGUGUCAUUCUCUCUUGGAGUACCAAAUGACUUCCUAUUGGAUGUCAUUCCCUAUUAAAAAGCAUACAACAGAUCUUUUUUUGUCACAUAAUACUGCAGAGAUUGACCAUUCCCGUGGCUAUUAUAACUGGUAUUUUGUGAGCUCAGUUCCAGAAAUACUAGUAUUUCUGUAUGUGUAUGUAAUGACUUGUAUUUGGAUGCAUGUGAGGAGAGCAGGUGUUACUUUUUUUACUGGUUCCACAGGCACAAUUGAAAAAUAGAUGGCAAGAUCAUAGUCUCCUGUUUUAAUGGAAUGGAAGAAUACAGCAAUGGUGUGAGUAGAAUAAAAGAUCGCCUGAAAUCAAGUUGGCUCAGUUUCACUGGACAAUGAACCUGAACCACCCCACCUGCCCUUCUGGAUGGGUUACGACGACUCGACACAGAUCCAGUCGAGCCAAAAAACAAGUCUUAGUGUUUUUGUUCCUAAGGUUACUUUUUGAAACUAGAGUUUUUAGUCAUUGUGGGCUGUCAUGGUUGCAGUAUUUACACUUCAAAUUGAAAUGUGGGACCCAAAUAUGGUAAUCAUUUCCAAAUGUCUGGGAAACUUUAUUUUGAGAUAGGCAAGGUUUGCUAGCGUACAAAGGUAUCCUGCAUGCCCUCCUUGAUGCAAGAUGCUUGAAAAGUUACUCAGAAAUGGAGUGGUUCUCUUGAAUCCAGGUCGCGUGAUGUGGGAUCGAGACAUUCAGUUGUUGCAUGCAGUCUAGUGAGAGCAGCGCUGGUUUGCAGUCUUGUGAGAGCAGCUCUGGUUUGUUAUAUGUGGGGGUGUCAUUGUAUUGUGCAGAAAGCAGAUGUGAUUAAGCUGUGCAAUUAGGGAGCUUGGAGAGAUCUGAGGAUGUUGUUCAAGGUGUGGACAAGUACCAUGCAAUUGAACGGUGUUAGUCUUACUGCUAUUAUUCUCUACUUCUUGUCACACAUAUAUAUCACAUCUGAUGAACUGGAUUGAUUGAUAAUGGGCAUUGUAUGUUUUGAAUCACUUGGAUUCAUUGCAGGA